AAGUCGUAACAAGGUCUCCGUAGGUGAACCUGCGGAGGGAUCAUUACUGAGUGAGGGCCUUCGGGCUCGACCUCCAACCCUUUGUGAACACAACUUGUUGCUUCGGGGGCGACCCUACCGUUUCGACGGCGAGCGCCCCCGGAGACCAUCAAACACUGCAUCUUUGCGUCGGAGUUUAAGUAAAUUAAACAAAACUUUCAACAACGGAUCUCUUGGUUCUG
Molecule: unclassified non-coding RNA, 221 nt
Filed under: Septoria cerastii
Lineage: Eukaryota; Fungi; Ascomycota; Dothideomycetes; Mycosphaerellales; Mycosphaerellaceae
Description: partial internal transcribed spacer region
Rfam family: Eukaryotic small subunit ribosomal RNA (bases 1-46)
Source: RNAcentral